This 94-nucleotide small nucleolar RNA is filed under the name Tetraodon nigroviridis (spotted green pufferfish). Lineage: Eukaryota; Metazoa; Chordata; Actinopteri; Tetraodontiformes; Tetraodontidae. The record is from RNAcentral.
GUUCAAAGUGUUGAGUUCUGCCCUGCUGCUCAGUGCAGGUCUGAUAAUUAAGCUUUGAAACAGGAAGCUGCAGUGGAGGCCCAUUGUUGCAAGA